GAUGAAGAACGUAGCGAAAUGCGAUAAGUAGUGUGAAUUGCAGAAUUCAGUGAAUCAUCGAAUCUUUGAACGCACAUUGCGCCCCUUGGUAUUCCAUGGGGCAUGCCUGUUCGAGCGUCAUUUGUACCUUCAAGCUCUGCUUGGUGUUGGGUGUUUGUCUCGCCUCUGCGUGUAGACUCGCCUCAAAACAAUUGGCAGCCGGCGUAUUGAUUUCGGAGCGCAGUACAUCUCGCGCUUUGCACCCAUAACGACGACGUCCAAAAGUACAUUUUUACACUCUUGACCUCGGAUCAGGUAGGGAUACCCGCUGAACUUAAGCAUAUCAAUAAGCGGAGGA
Molecule: unclassified non-coding RNA, 337 nt
Filed under: soil metagenome
Description: partial contains 5.8S ribosomal RNA, internal transcribed spacer 2, and large subunit ribosomal RNA
Rfam family: 5.8S ribosomal RNA (bases 1-120)
Source: RNAcentral